GGCGACUCGCCCCCCAGCAGCUGGCAGGUGUGAGUGCGCGCGCAGGAGCAGCCCGGGGUUGCAGGCAGCAGGCAGCAGGAGGAGGGGUCUUGUUGGGUUAGGAGUGUGGCCAGGGUUACAGAUGGAGAAACUCAGGUGCAGAUGAAAUGGCAAGUUUUAGGUGCUUGUCCCCUUAAUAACACACUCCGGGCUUAGCUUUCCUUGUUCUGGGAACUGUCUUUGUUUACUGUGGCCUCAGGCAGAGCUCAGGGGUGUAGACAGAAGCCUCUUGGUAGAACCUGUGAUGCAGCGAGCCUGUCAUGCCAGCUCUGCAUGCUGCUUCGGGCUCUCCCAGAGUGACCUGCGGGAGUGACUAUCGCUCUGCGGAGGAGCAUCUGCCAGCCAGCCCACGGCCCCGGGUUCCCUCGCAGCACCACAGGACAGCAGUGAGAGUGGUGGCUUUGGCAUGUAGGGCAGUGGCGGGCACACCUGGCUUUGCAUCUCAGGGUGCUGUGCUGUGGGCUCUGUUGUCCCCAGACUUUGUAUCGGGCUCUGGGUGGAGGAGCCGCCGUGUGCUCCCUGCUGUGUGCUCCUGCAGCGUGCUCCCGGUGACUCAGCACCUGUCGAGGUGCCUUCUCCCCCAGGGCGGAGCCCUUGCUCUGUUCAUCAUUGCUAUCUUGAAAAUAAAGUGCUUUUUGGACUUCAAUCUUCUUAUCGAUGUCCAGUGAAUUUUAUAGACUUG
This 721-nucleotide long non-coding RNA is filed under the name Marmota monax (woodchuck). Lineage: Eukaryota; Metazoa; Chordata; Mammalia; Rodentia; Sciuridae. The record is from RNAcentral.